CUCAACUUCUCCCUCACUGCACUUUGGCUCUCAUGAAGAGCACGUUCACUCAUGUGUUCAAAAUAAACGAUAGCUGUCGUGCAAAGUAGCAAGUGAGCUGUAAAAAUAGCGAGCUUAGUGGCGGGGAAAAUGCGGGAGAGCUAAGUGAAGCUAACGAACAGCUAAGUGGAGCUAAGCGAUGCUAAACGGAGCUAAGCGAAGCUAAACGGCGCUAACCGUCGUCGUGGAACAGUCCAUUGUAGUGCGAGUGUGUGGAGGAGAGAUAAUAUAAAAACAGCAUUCAAAUGGCUUUCUUUUUUGUUUUGUUAUUUGUUUGUUUGGUAUGCUGACAUAAUUAUACAUGACGAAUAGUUGGGGGCAGUGCCAUAUAUUUAGAGAGUCACGACACUCCCAUAGGGAUCCAUUAUACGAUUUUACUUCCGGGUACUUCCGGGUUAUGGAGCCUUGGAUAGUUACAAACAUCGCAUUUGUCAUGGCGGACACCAUUCAUUUGAACGGCAGGCUGUCAAGUAUAUUCGGAGAGGCCCUUUGUGACAUACACUUAUCUCUUUGAUGCACAUGGAUUGAAUUCUCAAUCGCAGCCUAAUCUGCUCCACAACAUUGGAGGAUUCCAUGAGGGAAUCAUUCGUAGCCAAACGGAACACAUGCUCGACAUCCUUUAAGAGAGUGAAGACCUCAUCCGAUGGCCGGUGCUUCAACCAAUGCACACUGGCAUUGGUUGCAGAGUGAGAAGCUGGUGACCCUCUUCACUAUGCAUCCUGCCAGAUGUUGCCUUUUUGCCUGACAGCGUGGUCCCUGGUGCAUCUGGGCCUAGUGUUGUGGCGCCACCGCUGGUUCUUGAUUGGUCGGCACCCGGCUCAUCCACCCCUGGAUCACCUGGCCUGGAUACGUCAUUGUCAUUGUGCUCACUUUCGCCCAACCUUCCCACCUCAAUUUCUCCCUGAAUGUCUGUAACAAUAACAAGGCAUUCUUAAUUUUAUAUGCAGUCAGUGUUUUUACAUUUGCACCUAUUGUCAUCUCCAAAGUAAGGGUACACUACACUCCUAAAGGGAAAAGAAAAAAUAACGGACAUUACUGUUACAUGAAUCAAAUCAUCUGCCACAAUCAGAAACUGCUAUGGCAUUGCCAUGUGUCAACAGUCUGGUGAUAUCAUGGAGUUGGUUCUGCUUUGCUGUUGUAUCCACCAGAAAUGUUUAGUUAUAGGUGAAAAUUAAAUGCAUAAAUAAAGCUAAAUUAUGAAGUAACUAACAAUGAAGUAGAUCGAAAUUUUGUGUGUAAAUCCCAGGACAAUUCCUGACCUCUUGUAUUUGAAGCUGAAUGUAUUAAUAUGAAAAAUGUAAUUAUCUUAUUAGGAGUGUAGUUUAUCCUUGAAUUACUUGGCAUGGGAAAUGUUGUUGACAGCUGGUCUGUAUCAUACCCAAGUUUAACCUGGUGCAAUAUGUAUGGUCUGUUUGAAUUUUGGUUGGAGGCACACUCCUAAAGGGAAGUUUCCUCCUCUUUGGCUUCGAACGAUGAAUGAAAAUGGUUGGGACAGCA
Long non-coding RNA from Corythoichthys intestinalis (scribbled pipefish), 1536 nucleotides. RefSeq lists it as uncharacterized. The record is from RefSeq and is a predicted model, not a curated record. The transcript is spliced from 6 exons. Lineage: Eukaryota; Metazoa; Chordata; Actinopteri; Syngnathiformes; Syngnathidae.